GAAUAUUGGACAAUGGGGGGAACCCUGAUCCAGCCAUGCCGCGCGUGUGAAGAAGGCCUUUUGGUUGUAAAGCACUCUAAGCGAGGAGGAGGCUACUCUAGUUAAUACCUAGAGAUAGUGGACGGUACUCGCACAGUAAGCACCGGCUAACUCUGUCCCAGCACCCGCGGUAAUACAGAGGGUGAAAGCGUUAAUCGGAUUUACUGGGCGUAAAGGGCGCGUAGGUGGCCAAUUAAGUCAAAUGUGAAAUCCCCGAGCUUAACUUGGGAAUUGCAUUCGAUACUGGUUGGCUAGAGUAUGGGAGAGGAUGGUAGAAUUCCAGGUGUAGCGGUGAAAUGCGUAGAGAUCUGGAGGAAUACCGAUGGCGAAGGCAGCCAUCUGGCCUAAUACUGACACUGAGGUGCGAAAGCAUGGGGAGCAAAC
This 423-nucleotide ribosomal RNA is filed under the name uncultured bacterium. RNAcentral describes it as "bacterial SSU rRNA". It matches the Rfam family "Bacterial small subunit ribosomal RNA", at positions 359 to 773 of the family's 1533-position model. The record is from RNAcentral.